GGGCGUAAAGCGCGCGUAGGCGGUUUUUUAAGUCUGAUGUGAAAGCCCACGGCUCAACCGUGGAGGGUCAUUGGAAACUGGAAAACUUGAGUGCAGAAGAGGAAAGUGGAAUUCCAUGUGUAGCGGUGAAAUGCGCAGAGAUAUGGAGGAACACCAGUGGCGAAGGCGACUUUCUGGUCUGUAACUGACGCUGAUGUGCGAAAGCGUGGGGAUCAAACAGGAUUAGAUACCCUGGUAGUCCACGCCGUAAACGAUGAGUGCUAAGUGUUAGGGGGUUUCCGCCCCUUAGUGCUGCAGCUAACGCAUUAAGCACUCCGCCUGGGGAGUACGACCGCAAGGUGAAACUCAAAGGAAUGACGU
Molecule: ribosomal RNA, 360 nt
Filed under: uncultured bacterium
Lineage: Bacteria
Description: bacterial SSU rRNA
Rfam family: Bacterial small subunit ribosomal RNA
Source: RNAcentral